AUUGAACGCUGGCGGCAUGCCUUACACAUGCAAGUCGAACGGCAGCACGGGAGCAAUCCUGGUGGCGAGUGGCGAACGGGUGAGUAAUGUAUCGGAACGUGCCUUGUCGUGGGGGAUAACGUAGCGAAAGCUACGCUAAUACCGCAUACCAUCUAAGGAUGAAAGCGGGGGAUCGCAAGACCUCGCGCGACAAGAGUGGCCGAUAUCAGAUUAGGUUGUUGGUGGGGUAAAGGCCUACCAAGCCGACGAUCUGUAGCUGGUCUGAGAGGACGACCAGCCACACUGGGACUGAGACACGGCCCAGACUCCUACGGGAGGCAGCAGUGGGGAAUUUUGGACAAUGGGCGAAAGCCUGAUCCAGCAAUGCCGCGUGCAGGAUGAAGGCCUUCGGGUUGUAAACUGCUUUGUACAGAACGAAACAGUCCCCCUAACUACGGGGGCGAAUGACGGUACUGUAAGAAUAAGCACCGGCUAACUACGUAGCCAGCAGCCGCGGUAA
Molecule: ribosomal RNA, 499 nt
Filed under: uncultured bacterium
Lineage: Bacteria
Description: bacterial SSU rRNA
Rfam family: Bacterial small subunit ribosomal RNA
Source: RNAcentral